This 500-nucleotide ribosomal RNA is filed under the name uncultured bacterium. Its description in RNAcentral is "partial 16S ribosomal RNA". It matches the Rfam family "Bacterial small subunit ribosomal RNA", at positions 30 to 523 of the family's 1533-position model. The record is from RNAcentral.
AUUGAACGCUGGCGGCAUGCCUUACACAUGCAAGUCGAACGGCAGCACGGGAGCAAUCCUGGUGGCGAGUGGCGAACGGGUGAGUAAAGUAUCGGAACGUGCCCAGUCGUGGGGGAUAACGUAGCGAAAGUUACGCUAAUACCGCAUACGAUCUAUGGAUGAAAGCGGGGGAUCGCAAGACCUCGCGCGAUUGAAGCGGCCGAUAACAGAUUAGGUAGUUGGUGGGGUAAAGGCUCACCAAGCCGACGAUCUGUAGCUGGUCUGAGAGGACGACCAGCCACACUGGGACCGUGACACGGCCCAGACUCCUACGGGAGGCAGCAGUGGGGAAUUUUGGACAAUGGGCGAAAGCCUGAUCCAGCCAUGCCGCGUGCAGGAUGAAGGCCUUCGGGUUGUAAACUGCUUUUGUACGGAACGAAAAGGUUUGGCCUAAUAAGCUGAGCUCAUGACGGUACCGUAAGAAUAAGCACCGGCUAACUACGUGCCAGCCGCCGCGGUAA